GUGCCCUUUUAAGGUUGAUGCAGUGCUAUAAGAGGCUAACACUGAAGGGUAAAGGAAACCUUUAUAAAACAAGAGAAGAGACUACAAAAGUCUUUGAAUACUGCCUGCAGUUACAGCU
Molecule: small nucleolar RNA, 118 nt
Filed under: Spermophilus dauricus (Daurian ground squirrel)
Lineage: Eukaryota; Metazoa; Chordata; Mammalia; Rodentia; Sciuridae
Description: Small nucleolar RNA SNORA26 (ENSSDAG00000005705.1)
Rfam family: Small nucleolar RNA SNORA26
About the family: The snoRNA HBI-6 belong to the H/ACA family of snoRNAs, guiding the pseudouridylation of position U4522 if the 28S rRNA. HBI-6 is the human orthologue of mouse MBI-6 snoRNA.
Source: Rfam by way of RNAcentral